GGAUGCGAUCAUACUAGCACUAAAGCACCGGGUCCCAUUAGCACUCUACAGUUAAGCGAGCUUUAGUAAAGGUAGUACUAGGUUGGGUGAUCUCCUGGGAAGUCCUCGUGCUACAUCCU
Molecule: ribosomal RNA, 119 nt
Organism: Gossypium raimondii (Peruvian cotton)
Lineage: Eukaryota; Viridiplantae; Streptophyta; Magnoliopsida; Malvales; Malvaceae
Source: Rfam